UAGAGUUUGAUCCUGGCUCAGAACGAACGCUGGCGGCGCGCCUAAUACAUGCAAGUCGAGCGAGAAGGUGUAGCAAUACACUUGUAAAGCGGCGAACGGGUGAGGAAUACAUGGGUAACCUACCGUCGAGUGGGGAAUAACCAGCCGAAAGGCUGGCUAAUACCGCGUACGCUUCCGGAUCCUCGGGUUCGGAAGGAAAGCGAUACCGUGGGUAUCGCGCUCUUCGAUGGGCUCAUGUCCUAUCAGCUUGUUGGUAGGGUAACGGCCUACCAAGGCUUUGACGGGUAGCUGGUCUGAGAGGACGAUCAGCCACACUGGCACUGCGACACGGGCCAGACUCCUACGGGAGGCAGCAGUAAGGAAUAUUGCGCAAUGGGCGACAGCCUGACGCAGCGACGCCGCGUGGGGGAUGAAGGUCUUCGGAUUGUAAACCCCUUUCGGGAGGGAAGAUGGGGCGGGCAACCGCUCGGACGGUACCUCCAGAAGCAGCCACGGCCAACUUCGUGCCAGCAGCCGCGGUAAUACGAAGGUGGCAAGCGUUGUUCGGAUUCACUGGGCGUACAGGGUGUGUAGGCGGUUUGGUAAGCCUUUUGUGAAAGCUUCGGGCCUAACCCGGAAGCGCAGAGGGGACUGCCAGGCUAGAGGACGGGAGAGGAGCGCGGAAUUCCCGGUGUAGCGGUGAAAUGCGUAGAGAUCGGGAGGAAGGCCGGUGGCGAAGGCGGCGCUCUGGAACGUAUCUGACGCUGAGACACGAAAGCGUGGGGAGCAAACAGGAUUAGAUACCCUGGUAGUCCACGCCCUAAACUAUGGACAC
This 814-nucleotide ribosomal RNA is filed under the name uncultured bacterium. RNAcentral's name for it is "bacterial SSU rRNA". It matches the Rfam family "Bacterial small subunit ribosomal RNA", at positions 1 to 816 of the family's 1533-position model. The record is from RNAcentral.